AUACGUAGGGUGCAAGCGUUGUCCGGAAUUAUUGGGCGUAAAGAGCUCGUAGGCGGUCUGUCGCGUCUGCUGUGAAAACCUAGGGCUUAACCCUGGGCCUGCAGUGGGUACGGGCAGACUAGAGUGCGGUAGGGGAGACUGGAAUUCCUGGUGUAGCGGUGAAAUGCGCAGAUAUCAGGAGGAACACCGGUGGCGAAGGCGGGUCUCUGGGCCGUAACUGACGCUGAGGAGCGAAAGCAUGGGUAGCGAACAGGAUUAGAUACCCUGGUAGUCCAUGCCGUAAACGUUGGGCGCUAGGUGUGGGGCUCAUUCCACGAGUUCUGUGCCGCAGCAAACGCAUUAAGCGCCCCGCCUGGGGAGUACGGCCGCAAGGCUAAA
RNAcentral lists this ribosomal RNA (378 nucleotides) under uncultured bacterium. RNAcentral's name for it is "bacterial SSU rRNA". It matches the Rfam family "Bacterial small subunit ribosomal RNA", at positions 523 to 898 of the family's 1533-position model. The record is from RNAcentral.